Molecule: long non-coding RNA, 377 nt
Organism: Oreochromis aureus
Lineage: Eukaryota; Metazoa; Chordata; Actinopteri; Cichliformes; Cichlidae
Source: Ensembl
GUAACACUCUCUAUAUAGGUCUAUAUUUCGAAUUCUUCUCAUUAACAUUGGUUUCAAUCAUAUAUGUGCAGGGAAUAUUAGACAAGAGGAUUUACACAGAUGGGGACCUCUUGGCUCGUAGUUUUUGGCACUUUAGUCAUCGCUUCUGAGCUGUGCCAGGGCUCUGCUCCGAUUGGUGCGUGGAUACACCGCCCCGACGUGACUGGUUCCAGCUGGAGGACCCGCCCAUUAAAAGGAGGCUGGAGUGCUACGGCGGGAGAGGUCCUCGCGUUUCUCCUCAUUACCCAGCAGUGUAACUGUGGCAGCCGCUGGCUGCAGUGCGGCUUGAAAGUGUUGGAAGUGGAGUGGGUAGGGGUGAGCUGCCGUUUCUUUUGAUC